Molecule: transfer RNA, 73 nt
Filed under: Ipomoea nil (Japanese morning glory)
Lineage: Eukaryota; Viridiplantae; Streptophyta; Magnoliopsida; Solanales; Convolvulaceae
Rfam family: tRNA
About the family: Transfer RNA (tRNA) molecules are approximately 80 nucleotides in length. Their secondary structure includes four short double-helical elements and three loops (D, anti-codon, and T loops).
Source: Rfam by way of RNAcentral
GGGGAUGUAGCUCUGAUGGUAGAGCGCUCGCUUAGCAUGUUAGAGGUAUGGGGAUUGAUAUCCCGCAUCUCCA